Molecule: ribosomal RNA, 255 nt
Filed under: uncultured bacterium
Lineage: Bacteria
Description: partial 16S ribosomal RNA
Rfam family: Bacterial small subunit ribosomal RNA
Source: RNAcentral
UACGUAGGGGGCAAGCGUUGUCCGGAUUUAUUGGGCGUAAAGAGCGUGUAGGCGGCCAGACAGGUCCGUUGUGAAAACUCGAGGCUCAACCUCGAGAUGUCGAUGGAAACCGUCUGGCUAGAGUCCGGAAGAGGGAGUGUGGAAUUCCUGGGUGAGCGGUGAAAUGCGCAGAUAUCAAGGAAGAACACCUAUGGCGAAGGCAGCACUCUGGGACGGUACUGACGCUGAGACGCGAAAGCGUGGGGAGCGAACAGG